GACGAACGCUGGCGGCGUGGAUUAGGCAUGCAAGUCGAACGGUAUCAUCCUUUCGGGGGUGAGAGAGUGGCGAACUGGUGAGUAACACGUAGGUUAUCUACCCUCAAGACGGGGACAACCCAGGGAAACUUGGGCUAAUACCGGAUGUGAGCAACUUUUAGUUGUUUGAAAGGUGGCGUAAGCUGUCGCUUGGGGAUGAGCCUGCGUCCUAUUAGUUAGUUGGUGAGGUAACGGCUCACCUAGGCAAUGAUAGGUAGGCGGCCUUAACGGGUGGUCGCCCACACUGGGAUUGAGAUACGGCCCAGACUCCUACGGGAGGCAGCAGUCGAGAAUAGUCUACAAUGGUCGGAAGACUGAUAGUGCGACGCCGCGUGAACGAUGAAUCCCUUCGGGGUGUAAAGUUCUUUUAUAUGUGAGCAGUGCUUCUUAUAUUAACAGUAUGGGGAGAGAGAUAUUAGCAUAUGAAUAAGCAACGGCUAACUCCGUGCCAGCAGCCGCGGUAAUCG
Molecule: ribosomal RNA, 506 nt
Filed under: uncultured bacterium
Lineage: Bacteria
Description: bacterial SSU rRNA
Rfam family: Bacterial small subunit ribosomal RNA
Source: RNAcentral